AACGCGAAGAACCUUACCUACCCUUGACAUCCAGAGAAGACUGCAGAGAUGUGGUUGUGCCGAAAGGAACUCUGAGACAGGUGCUGCAUGGCUGUCGUCAGCUCGUGUUGUGAGAUGUUGGGUUAAGUCCCGUAACGAGCGCAACCCUUAUCCUUAGUUGCCAACAUGUAAUGGUGGGGACUCUAAGGAGACUGCCGGUGAUGAACCGGAGGAAGGCGGGGACGACGUCAAGUCAUCAUGGCCUUUAUGGGUAGGGCUACACACGUGCUACAAUGGGCAGUACAGAGGGCGGCCAACCCGCGAGGGGGAGCCAAUCCCAGAAAGCUGUUCGUAGUCCGGAUCGGAGUCUGCAACUCGACUCCGUGAAGUCGGAAUCGCUAGUAAUCGCGAAUCAGAAUGUCGCGGUGAAUACGUUCCCGGGCCUUGUACACACCGUAGUACC
This 442-nucleotide ribosomal RNA is filed under the name uncultured bacterium. RNAcentral's name for it is "bacterial SSU rRNA". It matches the Rfam family "Bacterial small subunit ribosomal RNA", at positions 958 to 1399 of the family's 1533-position model. The record is from RNAcentral.